This 466-nucleotide ribosomal RNA is filed under the name uncultured bacterium. RNAcentral's name for it is "partial 16S ribosomal RNA". It matches the Rfam family "Bacterial small subunit ribosomal RNA", at positions 339 to 795 of the family's 1533-position model. The record is from RNAcentral.
CUACGGGACGCAGCAGUGGGGAAUAUUGGACAAUGGGGGAAACCCUGAUCCAGCAAUGCCGCGUGUGUGAAGAAGGCCUGCGGGUUGUAAAGCACUUUCGGUUGGGAGGACUGCUUCUAGCACUAAUAUUGUUGGAAGUUGACGUUACCUUCAGAAGAAGCACCGGCUAACUCCGUGCCAGCAGGCCGCGGUAAUACGGAGGGUGCAGGCGUUAAUCGGAAUUACUGGGCGUAAAGCGCGCGUAGGCGGCUAGAUCAGUCGGGUGUGAAAGCCCCGGGCUUAACCUGGGAACUGCAUCCGAUACUGUCUAGCUUGAGUACAGGAGAGGAGAGUGGAAUUCCACAUGUAGCGGUGAAAUGCGUAGAUAUGUGGAGGAACACCAAUGGCGAAGGCAGCUCUCUGGCCUGAUACUGACGCUGAGGUGCGAAAGCGUGGGGAGCAAACAGGAUUAGAUACCCUAGUAGUC